UCACUUCGGACCCUGCCUAGCCAGCAGCCCAAGCUUGAGGAGCUCUCGUUCCCCUCCAUUGCCACCAUGGCCUCCACCUCUAACCUCCUCGAUUAGCUCUAGCCCGAGCCCCUCCCUCCUUCUCUCCACAACCAGCAAAACCCCUCCACCUAGUAGAGUCUCCCUACCCCUUCAUCUCGUUGCCGGAGUGCCAUAGCAGCGAGCCCAUCUCUGGCCGUAGCCACCGUCCUCCGUGGAUGCUGCUCUGCUCAACUCCGAGCUCCCCGGGGCUGAGUCGCCCAGGGAUUGGACCGCCUCGCUCUACUGAUUCCAACGGUGGGUGCACGCCACCUGUGGUGGCCUGUGUCACCGGCAAUCGCCGUCGAGGAGGCCAUCUGCCUCGGCUCGUUGCGCCCCCGAGCGAGACGAAGAAGAAGCCAGCCAAGGCCAUCGCCCGUGGACCCCACCCAUCAGUCUAACAGAAGAGUUGACUAGGUACGCUGAUGUGGAUAACUGGAGGCGUAAUCGACUAGAUUACGUCUUCAGUUUUCCUAAGGCGUAUUUUCGUGCCUCUUUAGAUCACAGUACGUUUUCCCUGAUCUAAAAGCGUAUUUCUAAAAAGGCGCUUUCUGUUUUUCAGCCCCGCUCACCGAAAACGUUAAAUUGUGAACGUUCACUAUUUAAGCCACUUUUCUGCCUAAAAGGUGAACGAGGACAACAUUUCAUCCGUCACUCCGAUUGAGGUGAUUCAAACAAUCACCUUCUCUGUUUGUUGACCUCUUUUUGAUGGGACUAUUUUCUUUAUGUUUGCACAUUCUCAAAAUGCCCAUUUUGCCCUUGCUCUAAUUCAGCCCCUCUGAGAGAGAACCGUUCUCUGGAAAAAUUUCCGCGAGUUGAUUGCACUCAUUUCCGGAGUAUUCCUCGACCCCAGGCAAGCCAACCUCUUAUCAUAAGCCCCGUCCUUGCGGUUGCUUGCACCUUGUGUGUGUGCUUAGUUGUAGUAGUUUCUUGCUUGUUUCGUCUUCUGUUAUUUCAGUCUUGCUUUUAUAAUUAUGUUGUGUGCCUUGCAUGUUUGUGCUUUCAUGCUAUCUUUGGACAUGCUAGUUGGAUAUUGCUAUUCAUAAUAUCAUGCCUCUGUUUUGAUUGAUGUCAGUAGACUUGAUGCCAUGAUGAUUCUGUUACCUUGUCAAUAUGCUAGUACCUGGAAUUGUCAUGUUUCAUAUGCUAUAGUUGUUCACUUGAGAAGCUUGGUAUUUGUUAAUGCAUUUGUAUGUUGCAUGCUUGUUGUUGCAUUCAUGAUAAAUAUGCUCAUAGUGUUGAUGAUGAUGGAGAAUUUAAUAAUAUAACUUAAUAGUAAACCUCCUCCGUCCUUGAUGGGAUCGAGUCAUAGUGCCACCAAAUCGAACUUUCUCCCAUGUAGCCACAUUUGCCUUUAUGGGAGGGCCCUAGAUGGGUCUAUUAUCAUGCUUCUCACCGGUGCCUCCAAUGAGGGAAGGUUAUGGGCGCACGCUACCCUGAUCAGGUAGGCGGACAUAAGCCUUGUGUGCCCGUAGUUGGAUGAUAAGCGCUUUUGUCCCCGUUUGGGACCGUUUUUGUUUUGCACAUGACGGUGGCUGUUUUGCCAUGACGGUGGCCGUUGUGCCUUUGGUAGGCACGGGGCCACCCUGGACUGAACCCCAAGGGGUGUUGGUCGGAGUGGUCGGGAGAGUGUCAUGGCAGUUCGUCGGUUUUGUCGGUCCACCAGAAUUGGAGUACAAGGCCAUGGGUUCCGUGGUGUGGGUACAGUGUGCUACCUCUGCACAUUGUGUGUUAAAACUAUUGAUAGCCGUGUCAUCGAUCAUAGGCACAAGUCCGUAGUAGGUCACACUAUCGGGUCUUGGUCGAAAUGGAGGAUAAACCUGAAAUAACUAAGUUGAUGAAUAAUGUGUAAUGAAUAAUGUGGUGACUUGGACUAUGAGAUAGUCGUGAGAAGUCACGGUGAUGUUUUGACAUGAUCACGAGAGGAGGUCUCGGUGGGUGUUGAACCAAGUGUUGUUUUAUAUGUGAUGUGUGAAUGAUCACCAUUUAGUUACGAGGUAAGCCGUUGGUAAGAGAGUCCGAAGGACUCGGUGCACAAGUGUUGGUUGCAGUGCAUGAGUAACAUGUUGUUAUUUGCAUUUAAAGAGUCGUGUCAGAAUAAAAGAUUGUUGCAUAAAGUUAACACAUUAUGUUUGCAUGUGAAGUAACUGGUAGGUUAUUUUCAGCAUAGUUUCAUGAUGCCAUGCCAUGCUUUGAUUGAAAUGCUAGAUUAUGCCAUGCUUUGAAAUAUCAUGUUAUGAUCAAGAUGCUAUGCUAUGUUUUGCCAUUGUCAUGUUUCGAUUGAAUUGCUAGAUGAUGCCAUGUUAUGAAUUGCCAUGUUUUGCUGCUACAAAGUUAGAAGCAUGUUUUGAUAUGUCAUGUUAUUGCCAUGCUAGUAGUUGUUGAUACUUUGUUUGAUUUAUGUCGCCAGCUAAUAUUAUGCCAUGCUUAUAAAUUGUGAUGAGUUAAAUUAUAGCAUGCGCUUGGUUCUUGUUUGUCAUAUGUUUGUUUGGAUGCUAUAUAUUUGUUGGUCUUGCAAGUACAGUCAAUGUACUGAACGAGCGUGUCAUGCCAGUUUUGUAGGUAAUGUCUGAAUUGUUUGCUUGUUCCGUCAUGCUAGGCCGUAAUCUUGCCGGUCCUGUGAGUUGUGGUGGCCAGCCAGAGUCGACAUGCUGUCAAACCAAGACUUCCGCCGCCAUUUAAAUAGCCUUAGAGCUAUGCCAGAUGAUUCUUGUAUACAUGUAUUUGAUGAAUAUUAUCAUACUUGGAAUGCUGUAUCAUUGAACAGUCGUGCGUCAG
RNAcentral lists this long non-coding RNA (2835 nucleotides) under Triticum aestivum (bread wheat). RNAcentral's name for it is "long non-coding RNA (TAES_LNC003757)". Lineage: Eukaryota; Viridiplantae; Streptophyta; Magnoliopsida; Poales; Poaceae. The record is from RNAcentral.